Molecule: ribosomal RNA, 1530 nt
Filed under: Salmonella enterica subsp. enterica serovar Derby
Lineage: Bacteria; Pseudomonadati; Pseudomonadota; Gammaproteobacteria; Enterobacterales; Enterobacteriaceae
Also listed under: 2 other names
Description: bacterial SSU rRNA
Rfam family: Bacterial small subunit ribosomal RNA
Source: RNAcentral
AGAGUUUGAUCAUGGCUCAGAUUGAACGCUGGCGGCAGGCCUAACACAUGCAAGUCGAACGGUAACAGGAAGCAGCUUGCUGCUUUGCUGACGAGUGGCGGACGGGUGAGUAAUGUCUGGGAAACUGCCUGAUGGAGGGGGAUAACUACUGGAAACGGUGGCUAAUACCGCAUAACGUCGCAAGACCAAAGAGGGGGACCUUCGGGCCUCUUGCCAUCAGAUGUGCCCAGAUGGGAUUAGCUUGUUGGUGAGGUAACGGCUCACCAAGGCGACGAUCCCUAGCUGGUCUGAGAGGAUGACCAGCCACACUGGAACUGAGACACGGUCCAGACUCCUACGGGAGGCAGCAGUGGGGAAUAUUGCACAAUGGGCGCAAGCCUGAUGCAGCCAUGCCGCGUGUAUGAAGAAGGCCUUCGGGUUGUAAAGUACUUUCAGCGGGGAGGAAGGUGUUGUGGUUAAUAACCACAGCAAUUGACGUUACCCGCAGAAGAAGCACCGGCUAACUCCGUGCCAGCAGCCGCGGUAAUACGGAGGGUGCAAGCGUUAAUCGGAAUUACUGGGCGUAAAGCGCACGCAGGCGGUCUGUCAAGUCGGAUGUGAAAUCCCCGGGCUCAACCUGGGAACUGCAUUCGAAACUGGCAGGCUUGAGUCUUGUAGAGGGGGGUAGAAUUCCAGGUGUAGCGGUGAAAUGCGUAGAGAUCUGGAGGAAUACCGGUGGCGAAGGCGGCCCCCUGGACAAAGACUGACGCUCAGGUGCGAAAGCGUGGGGAGCAAACAGGAUUAGAUACCCUGGUAGUCCACGCCGUAAACGAUGUCUACUUGGAGGUUGUGCCCUUGAGGCGUGGCUUCCGGAGCUAACGCGUUAAGUAGACCGCCUGGGGAGUACGGCCGCAAGGUUAAAACUCAAAUGAAUUGACGGGGGCCCGCACAAGCGGUGGAGCAUGUGGUUUAAUUCGAUGCAACGCGAAGAACCUUACCUGGUCUUGACAUCCACGGAAGUUUUCAGAGAUGAGAAUGUGCCUUCGGGAACCGUGAGACAGGUGCUGCAUGGCUGUCGUCAGCUCGUGUUGUGAAAUGUUGGGUUAAGUCCCGCAACGAGCGCAACCCUUAUCCUUUGUUGCCAGCGAUUAGGUCGGGAACUCAAAGGAGACUGCCAGUGAUAAACUGGAGGAAGGUGGGGAUGACGUCAAGUCAUCAUGGCCCUUACGACCAGGGCUACACACGUGCUACAAUGGCGCAUACAAAGAGAAGCGACCUCGCGAGAGCAAGCGGACCUCAUAAAGUGCGUCGUAGUCCGGAUUGGAGUCUGCAACUCGACUCCAUGAAGUCGGAAUCGCUAGUAAUCGUGGAUCAGAAUGCCACGGUGAAUACGUUCCCGGGCCUUGUACACACCGCCCGUCACACCAUGGGAGUGGGUUGCAAAAGAAGUAGGUAGCUUAACCUUCGGGAGGGCGCUUACCACUUUGUGAUUCAUGACUGGGGUGAAGUCGUAACAAGGUAACCGUAGGGGAACCUGCGGUUGGAUCACCU